AGGUGGAGCGAAUCCCUAAAAGCCGGCCUCAGUUCGGAUUGGAGUCUGCAACUCGACUCCAUGAAGCUGGAAUCGCUAGUAAUCGCGGAUCAGCAUGCCGCGGUGAAUACGUUCCCGGCCCUUGUACACACCGCCCGUCACGCCAUGAAAGUUGGUAGCAUUCGAAGCCAGCUAGCUAACCUUCGGGAGGCUACUGUCGAAAAUGAGAUCCACGAUUGGGGCGAAGUCGUAACAAGGUAGCCGUAGGGGAACCUGCGGCUGGAUCACCUCCUUUCUAAGGAG
RNAcentral lists this ribosomal RNA (282 nucleotides) under Candidatus Poribacteria bacterium. Its description in RNAcentral is "partial 16S ribosomal RNA". It matches the Rfam family "Bacterial small subunit ribosomal RNA", at positions 1260 to 1533 of the family's 1533-position model. Lineage: Bacteria; Candidatus Poribacteria. The record is from RNAcentral.